AUACGUAGGGGGCGAGCGUUGUCCGGAAUGAUUGGGCGUAAAGGGCGCGUAGGCGGCCCGGUAAGUCUGGAGUGAAAGUCCUGUUUUUAAGAUGGGAAUUGCUUUGGAUACUGUCGGGCUUGAGUGCAGGAGAGGUAAGUGGAAUUCCCAGUGUAGCGGUGAAAUGCGUAGAGAUUGGGAGGAACACCAGUGGCGAAGGCGACUUACUGGACUGUACCUGACGCUGAGGCUCGAAAGUGUGGGGAGCACACAGGAUUAGAUACCCUGGUAGUCCACACUAUAACCGGUGAAUGCUAAGUGUAGGGGGUAUACCCCCCUUCUGUGCCGCAGGCAACGCAAUAAGCAUUCCGCCUGGGGAGUAAGGCCGCAAGGUUGAAACUCAAAGGAAUUGACGGGG
This 397-nucleotide ribosomal RNA is filed under the name uncultured bacterium. Its description in RNAcentral is "partial 16S ribosomal RNA". It matches the Rfam family "Bacterial small subunit ribosomal RNA", at positions 523 to 918 of the family's 1533-position model. The record is from RNAcentral.